RNAcentral lists this ribosomal RNA (301 nucleotides) under uncultured bacterium. RNAcentral's name for it is "partial 16S ribosomal RNA". It matches the Rfam family "Bacterial small subunit ribosomal RNA", at positions 509 to 807 of the family's 1533-position model. The record is from RNAcentral.
CAGUAGCCGCGGGAAUACGAAGGGGGCUAGCGUUGUUCGGAUUUACUGGGCGUAAAGCGCACGUAGGCGGACAUUUAAGUCCGGGGUGAAAUCCCAGAGCUCAACUCUGGAACUGCCUUUGAUACUGGGUGUCUGGAGUAUGGAAGAGGUAAGUGGAAUUCCGAGUGUAGAGGUGAAAUUCGUAGAUAUUCGGAGGAACACCAGUGGCGAAGGCGGCUUACUGGUCCAUUACUGACGCUGAGGUGCGAAAGCGUGGGGAGCAAACAGGAUUAGAUACCCCGGUAGUCCCUGUCUCUUAUAC